AGCGUACACGGUGGAUGCCCUGGCAGUCAGAGGCGAUGAAGGACGUGCUAAUCUGCGAUAAGCGUCGGUAAGGUGAUAUGAACCGUUAUAACCGGCGAUUUCCGAAUGGGGAAACCCAGUGUGUUUCGACACACUAUCAUUAACUGAAUCCAUAGGUUAAUGAGGCGAACCGGGGGAACUGAAACAUCUAAGUACCCCGAGGAAAAGAAAUCAACCGAGAUUCCCCCAGUAGCGGCGAGCGAACGGGGAGCAGCCCAGAGCCUGAAUCAGUGUGUGUGUUAGUGGAAGCGUCUGGAAAGGCGCGCGAUACAGGGUGACAGCCCCGUACACAAAAAUGCACAUGCUGUGAGCUCGAUGAGUAGGGCGGGACACGUGGUAUCCUGUCUGAAUAUGGGGGGACCAUCCUCCAAGGCUAAAUACUCCUGACUGACCGAUAGUGAACCAGUACCGUGAGGGAAAGGCGAAAAGAACCCCGGCGAGGGGAGUGAAAAAGAACCUGAAACCGUGUACGUACAAGCAGUGGGAGCACGCUUAGGCGUGUGACUGCGUACCUUUUGUAUAAUGGGUCAGCGACUUAUAUUCUGUAGCAAGGUUAACCGAAUAGGGGAGCCGAAGGGAAACCGAGUCUUAACUGGGCGUUAAGUUGCAGGGUAUAGACCCGAAACCCGGUGAUCUAGCCAUGGGCAGGUUGAAGGUUGGGUAACACUAACUGGAGGACCGAACCGACUAAUGUUGAAAAAUUAGCGGAUGACUUGUGGCUGGGGGUGAAAGGCCAAUCAAACCGGGAGAUAGCUGGUUCUCCCCGAAAGCUAUUUAGGUAGCGCCUCGUGAACUCAUCUCCGGGGGUAGAGCACUGUUUCGGCAAGGGGGUCAUCCCGACUUACCAACCCGAUGCAAACUGCGAAUACCGGAGAAUGUUAUCACGGGAGACACACGGCGGGUGCUAACGUCCGUCGUGAAGAGGGAAACAACCCAGACCGCCAGCUAAGGUCCCAAAGUCAUGGUUAAGUGGGAAACGAUGUGGGAAGGCCCAGACAGCCAGGAUGUUGGCUUAGAAGCAGCCAUCAUUUAAAGAAAGCGUAAUAGCUCACUGGUCGAGUCGGCCUGCGCGGAAGAUGUAACGGGGCUAAACCAUGCACCGAAGCUGCGGCAGCGACACUAUGUGUUGUUGGGUAGGGGAGCGUUCUGUAAGCCUGCGAAGGUGUACUGUGAGGUAUGCUGGAGGUAUCAGAAGUGCGAAUGCUGACAUAAGUAACGAUAAAGCGGGUGAAAAGCCCGCUCGCCGGAAGACCAAGGGUUCCUGUCCAACGUUAAUCGGGGCAGGGUGAGUCGACCCCUAAGGCGAGGCCGAAAGGCGUAGUCGAUGGGAAACAGGUUAAUAUUCCUGUACUUGGUGUUACUGCGAAGGGGGGACGGAGAAGGCUAUGUUGGCCGGGCGACGGUUGUCCCGGUUUAAGCGUGUAGGCUGGUUUUCCAGGCAAAUCCGGAAAAUCAAGGCUGAGGCGUGAUGACGAGGCACUACGGUGCUGAAGCAACAAAUGCCCUGCUUCCAGGAAAAGCCUCUAAGCAUCAGGUAACAUCAAAUCGUACCCCAAACCGACACAGGUGGUCAGGUAGAGAAUACCAAGGCGCUUGAGAGAACUCGGGUGAAGGAACUAGGCAAAAUGGUGCCGUAACUUCGGGAGAAGGCACGCUGAUAUGUAGGUGAAGCGACUUGCUCGUGGAGCUGAAAUCAGUCGAAGAUACCAGCUGGCUGCAACUGUUUAUUAAAAACACAGCACUGUGCAAACACGAAAGUGGACGUAUACGGUGUGACGCCUGCCCGGUGCCGGAAGGUUAAUUGAUGGGGUCAGCGCAAGCGAAGCUCUUGAUCGAAGCCCCGGUAAACGGCGGCCGUAACUAUAACGGUCCUAAGGUAGCGAAAUUCCUUGUCGGGUAAGUUCCGACCUGCACGAAUGGCGUAAUGAUGGCCAGGCUGUCUCCACCCGAGACUCAGUGAAAUUGAACUCGCUGUGAAGAUGCAGUGUACCCGCGGCAAGACGGAAAGACCCCGUGAACCUUUACUAUAGCUUGACACUGAACAUUGAGCCUUGAUGUGUAGGAUAGGUGGGAGGCUUGGAAGUGUGGACGCCAGUCUGCAUGGAGCCGACCUUGAAAUACCACCCUUUAAUGUUUGAUGUUCUAACGUUGACCCGUAAUCCGGGUUGCGGACAGUGUCUGGUGGGUAGUUUGACUGGGGCGGUCUCCUCCUAAAGAGUAACGGAGGAGCACGAAGGUUGGCUAAUCCUGGUCGGACAUCAGGAGGUUAGUGCAAUGGCAUAAGCCAGCUUGACUGCGAGCGUGACGGCGCGAGCAGGUGCGAAAGCAGGUCAUAGUGAUCCGGUGGUUCUGAAUGGAAGGGCCAUCGCUCAACGGAUAAAAGGUACUCCGGGGAUAACAGGCUGAUACCGCCCAAGAGUUCAUAUCGACGGCGGUGUUUGGCACCUCGAUGUCGGCUCAUCACAUCCUGGGGCUGAAGUAGGUCCCAAGGGUAUGGCUGUUCGCCAUUUAAAGUGGUACGCGAGCUGGGUUUAGAACGUCGUGAGACAGUUCGGUCCCUAUCUGCCGUGGGCGCUGGAGAACUGAGGGGGGCUGCUCCUAGUACGAGAGGACCGGAGUGGACGCAUCACUGGUGUUCGGGUUGUCAUGCCAAUGGCACUGCCCGGUAGCUAAAUGCGGAAGAGAUAAGUGCUGAAAGCAUCUAAGCACGAAACUUGCCCCGAGAUGAGUUCUCCCUGACUCCUUGA
RNAcentral lists this ribosomal RNA (2786 nucleotides) under Escherichia coli. Its description in RNAcentral is "bacterial LSU rRNA". It matches the Rfam family "Bacterial large subunit ribosomal RNA". The record is from RNAcentral. Lineage: Bacteria; Pseudomonadati; Pseudomonadota; Gammaproteobacteria; Enterobacterales; Enterobacteriaceae.